GAGGCCGCGCGGGAGGGCGCGCUGGGCGGACGCUGGGGCCGCGGAGCCCAACCGCCCUUGUCCUGGACGCCCCUUGGCGGUCCGCACUGGCGGGUGCCCUCUCCCGAGGGGAACUGAGGCGGGGCGCCUGCCACCAUUCGUGAUUUUCCGUGACUCACCCUCUCAACAGUGUCCCGUCAGCCCCCGCUUUCUGGAAUUAAGAUGAUUUUCCAUGGGCAUUAUAGUCAGAGGAGGUUUUCUGUGAGACAUCUGGGAAAGGUGACUCAAUGAUCACUCAUAUUGUUCUAUGAUGUUAUACAUUUAACCGGAAUACUGGUGAACAGCUUUUAUAUCUUGGAAUUUUUUCCCAUUUUUGAAUCAGAAAUUUAGGACCAAGAAUCUUCUGUCACAGAACCUAUUACUUUGAGGAGUGAACUUAUAUUAACGGUGCUAAACCGUACAUGAACGACUUGGUAGAUGAAAACUUUGGAAAAUAGGAACAUUUCAUGUCAUCACAUGUAUCCUCCAGCAUUGGGGAAAAUUCAACAGUUGCCUUAAGGCGGGAGUUUAAUUGAGGACAUUUACUAAAAAGUUACUUAUUCUGUUUGAAAUUCUCUUCUGAUAAACAUCUUCCCGGGAUAACGAACAUCUCCAGGAUGUGAGAGCCGAGCGCGUGUCCGCGGAGUGCUUGAGCAACGCAGAAUGGCUUCGGUGCUGCGUUCCUUAGACCCCGUGCGGACCCUGCUGAGCCCUCAGCAUCUAUUGUGAAUAAUUGGUCUACUUUGAAGCUCAGAAGAGUCAUUGUGAAUAAUAUGGACAGAGUAAAAGAGUUAUGACAUUAGCUGUUAGUGACAUUAGCUCGAAGCCCACAAUAGUCAUAGAAAGGGGGAGACUUCACAACACCAUCUCCCUGGUAUCCACUGGACUUUGAUGGGUGGCAUCCACUAGCGGAAUUCAGAAAAAUGAAGGUGUGAAAUCGGUUUUUAUAAAGAAGAGAACCAUGCUAUGGAGAAGGAUUACUGUAUCGCCUCUUCAGAAGCCUUGUAUGAUGCCAUCCUGGGAUACAGCUGAGGUAUAGAUGAAAGGAUUCAGCAUCGGAGCCACCAUUGAAUACAUGAUGGUUGACAGAGUGUCGCUCUCAGGCAUAUGGGGGGAUGAAGGGCUGAAAUAGACGGCGAUGGCUGUGCCGUAAAACAACACCACCACUGACAGGUGGCAGCUGCAGGUGGAAACAGCUCUCUGCUUGCCCUGAGUAGAGGUGAUCUUCAGAACAGUGGAGAAGAUAAGUCCAUAAGAUACGAGGAUACAGACAAGGGGCGUGAGAGCCAAUAGACCUCCUACUGCAAAAAUGAUCAUUACAUUGAAGGAGACGUCAGAGCAAGAGAGCUGCAGGAGAGGAUUGAGAUCACAGAAGAAAUGAUGGAUGAUAUUGGAGGCACAGAAGGACAGCUGUGCUAUUAGGACAGUAUGCAGGAGGGCGUGGAGGUAAGUAACAAGCCACAGUCCAGCCACUAGCUGGACACAAAGGCACAGGUUCAUUCUGGCGGUGUAAUGUAAGGGGUGGCAAAUCGCCACAUAUCUAUCAUACGCCAUCACACACAGAAGGAGGCUGUCCAUAUUCACAAAAGAAACGAAGAAGAAGAGCUGGGUGAGGCAGCCUGCAAAAGAGAUAGUCUUGGUGCCAGUCAAGAUAUUCACUACCAUUUGGGGGACUGUAGUCGACGUAAAGCAGAUGUCAACAAAGGCCAAGUUACUAAGGAAGAAGUACAUAGGGGAAUGGAGGUGAGAGUCAAAGCCAAUCGUCGCAAUGAUGAGCAUGUUCCCCAAGGUGGUGGCUAAAUACAUACAGAGAAAGAGCACAGACAGGAGGUGCUGCUGCUCUGCUGAGCUAGGAAGUCCCAGAAGGACGAAUUCCCUGACAACUGUUAGAUUUCUUUUUUCCAUAUUCCCAACAAAUCUAGAAAAAUAAGUUAUUAAAUUGUAAAAGCCA
This is a long non-coding RNA of Homo sapiens (human), 1969 nucleotides long. NCBI's taxonomy places the organism in Eukaryota, Metazoa, Chordata, Mammalia, Primates, Hominidae. The record is from Ensembl.